RNAcentral lists this ribosomal RNA (253 nucleotides) under uncultured bacterium. RNAcentral describes it as "partial 16S ribosomal RNA". It matches the Rfam family "Bacterial small subunit ribosomal RNA", at positions 524 to 776 of the family's 1533-position model. The record is from RNAcentral.
UACAGAGGUCUCAAGCGUUGUUCGGAUUCAUUGGGCGUAAAGGGUGCGUAGGUGGCAUGGUAAGUCGGAUGUGAAAUCCCGGGGCUCAACCCCGGAACUGCAUUCGAUACUGCUGCGCUAGAGUACUGGAGAGGAGAUUGGAAUUUACGGUGUAGCAGUGAAAUGCGUAGAUAUCGUAAGGAAGACCAGUGGCGAAGGCGGAUCUCUGGACAGUUACUGACACUGAGGCACGAAAGCGUGGGGAGCAAACAGG